CACGUAGGGCGCAAGCGUUGUCCGGAAUUAUUGGGCGUAAAGAGCUCGUAGGUGGUUUGUUACGUCUGCUGUGAAAACCUAGGGCUUAACCCUGGGCUUGCAGUGGAUACGGGCAGACUAGAGGUAGGUAGGGGAGAAUGGAAUUCCUGGUGUAGCGGUGAAAUGCGCAGAUAUCAGGAGGAACACCAGCGGCGAAGGCGGCGCUCUGGGCCGGUACUGACGCUGAGGAGCGAAAGCGUGGGUAGCAAACAGG
Molecule: ribosomal RNA, 253 nt
Filed under: uncultured bacterium
Lineage: Bacteria
Description: partial 16S ribosomal RNA
Rfam family: Bacterial small subunit ribosomal RNA
Source: RNAcentral